RNAcentral lists this long non-coding RNA (966 nucleotides) under Gossypium barbadense (sea-island cotton). RNAcentral describes it as "long non-coding RNA (GBAR_LNC018928)". Lineage: Eukaryota; Viridiplantae; Streptophyta; Magnoliopsida; Malvales; Malvaceae. The record is from RNAcentral.
AAAUCAAUAAAAAACUUUAUUUUAAUCAAAAUUUAUUUUUGUAAUUUGCACAUAAUAUUCACAACAAUCACACAUCCAAACACAAAAGCUACAAUGUAAAUCCACCUCUAGCCUAAGCUAAUAGACAAUUAUGCUAUUGAUAACUUAAUCCUUUCGUUCGGACAAUCACCGGAGCAGACGAAAGGGUAACUCUCGAUCCACAAAUGCUCUGACCGGCCGACCUUGAUUGAUCAAUGCUACCAAUAUCUUCCAUUUCCCCUAACAGUCAUCCGGUUAAAAGAACCAUUGCGGGUCAUAGUUGAAAGUACCGCAAGUAAAAUAACCGCUGCUGCUGCUGCUGCUACUGCUGCUGCUGCUGCUGCUAUAAUCCAAGUGUUGCCAACACCUUCCAUUUCCACUAACCGGUCUCUCGCAAGGAGCACCAUUGUCGGUGGUUGCUCCACAAAUUAAUAUAAUAUCAUCACCACCAUGGUCCAACCACCGCGGAGUAAAACUGCUGUCAUAGUCGCCAUAAUUUAAGUUCCGUGAAGUAAAAUAACUACUACUGCGACCAUAAUUCGAAUGUUGCCAACAUCUUCCAUAUCCACUAACUGGUCUCUCACAAGGAGCAGCAUCGGAAGUGGGUGCUCCACAAAUGGAUGUAAUAUCACCACCACCACCGUGGUCCAACCAUCGUGGAGUAAAACUGCUACCGCCGUCCUCGCCAUAAUUUAAGUGCCUCCGGCAUCUUCCAUUUACUUGCUUGUUUGAUUUGAUUUUGAUGGGCACAUGUCUUUAGUUGGAACUACUACUGCUACCAUAAUUCGAAUGUUGCCAACAUCUUCCAUUUCCACUAACCGGUCUCUCACAAGGAGCACCAUCGGAAGUGGCUGCUCCACAAAUGUAUGUAAUAUCACCACCACCACCACGGUGAUCUAAGUGCCGCCGGCAUCUUCCAUUUACUUGCUUGUUUGAUUUGAUUUUGAU